UAGAGCUUGAGAGCUGAUAAAGUGAGA
RNAcentral lists this non-coding RNA (27 nucleotides) under Mus musculus (house mouse). Lineage: Eukaryota; Metazoa; Chordata; Mammalia; Rodentia; Muridae. The record is from RNAcentral.